This 928-nucleotide long non-coding RNA is filed under the name Mytilus galloprovincialis (Mediterranean mussel). The record is from RNAcentral. Lineage: Eukaryota; Metazoa; Mollusca; Bivalvia; Mytilida; Mytilidae.
ACCGCAGGGGGUCAAAAUACCAUGGCUAAGUAAAAUUUUACAAAUAUCUUUUCCAGUAUAUUAAAUACAUACAAACUACUUAUUGGAGUAUUAUAACUAUGUUAAGGAGUUAGAAUAGCUUCAAUUUUUGAAAUUCAAGGUCUAUAGUAGUGGGUUCAAUAUACCGCAGGGGGGUCAAAAUACCAUGGCUAAGUAAAAUUUUCAAAAUAUCUUUUCCAGUUUAUUAAAUAUUUACAAACUACUUAUUGAAGUAUUAUAACUAUGUUAAGGAGUUAGAAUAGCUUGAAUUUUUGAAAUUGAAGGUCUAGAGUAGGGGGUUCAAUAUACCGCAGGGGGUUCAAAAUACCAUGGCUAAGUAAAAUUUUCAAAAUAUCUUUUCCAGUUUAUUUAAUACAUACAAACUACUUAUUGGAGUAAUAUAACUAUAUUAAGGAUUUAGAAUAGCUUGAAUUUUUAAAAUUCAAGGUCUAUAGUAGGGGGUUCAAUAUACCGCAGGGGGGUCAAAAUACCAUGGCUAAGUAAAAUUUUCAAAAUAUCUUUUCCAGUAUAUUAAAUACAUACAAACUACUUAUUGGAGUAUUAUAACUAUGUUAAGGAGUUAGAAUAGCUUGAAUUUUUGAAAUUCAAGGUCUAUAGUAGGGGGUUCAAUAUACCGCAGGGGGGUCAAAAUACCAUGGCUAAGUAAAAUUUAACAAAUAUCUUUUCCAGUAUAUUAAAUACAUACAAACUACUUAUUGGAGUAAUAUAACUAUGUUAAGGAGUUAGAAUAGCUUGAAUUUUUGAAAUUCAAGGUCUAUAGUAGGGGGUUCAAUAUACCGCAGGGGGGUCAAAAUACCAUGGCUAAGUAAAAUUUUCAAAAUAUCUUUUCCAGUAUAUUAAAUACAUACAAACUACUUAUUGGAGUAUUACAACUAUGUUAAGGAGUUAG